UUUUUUUUUUCUUUUUUUUUGAGUGUUUCAUCAUUGAAAUCUUGUUGGACCAGGAGCAGAUGAAAAACCACGGUUUGCAAAAGCUUGGGUUUGUGACGCAGUAACUGCCAAAGUCUCCGUUCUCCGCUCCACUUCUUAUACAUCCACUUCCAGACAAAUAGAUCCAUCUUAGUGUAACGAGAUUAAAUCUUUUUUUAAUUACACAAAAUAUUGACUGUCUAAGUUUAGUUUCUCCCCCUGAAUUCAGCAUUGGGUAACCCCUCCUUAGUUUGUUCUUCUUCUGUGGUUUCUUCUUUAUAUGUUGGGCGCUCGCUUUCCCUCUCCCCUUCCUGUUUUACUGUUCGGUUGGAGAGGAGCUAAAACGGGCAGCUAACACGCGAUUUCUGUGUCUUUCCUUUCUGGAAAACUGUCAGGUAUGUGUUAGAGUUUUGUUGCCCGUUGGGGCCCUUCCUGUUUUACUGUUCGGUUGGAGAGGAGCUAAAACGGGCAGCUAACACGCGAUUUCUGUGUCUUUCCUUUCUGGAAAACUGUCAGAUCCGCAAUAAAUGGAGGUGAUCUCCGAGGGUG
Molecule: long non-coding RNA, 567 nt
Organism: Oryzias melastigma (Indian medaka)
Lineage: Eukaryota; Metazoa; Chordata; Actinopteri; Beloniformes; Adrianichthyidae
Exons: 2
Source: RefSeq, a predicted model, not a curated record